GUCCAAAUCGUCUAGGGGUUAGGACUCCACGCUGUGGACGUGGCAACGUAGGUUCGAAUCCUGCUUUGGACA
Molecule: transfer RNA, 72 nt
Filed under: Plasmodium falciparum Dd2
Lineage: Eukaryota; Apicomplexa; Aconoidasida; Haemosporida; Plasmodiidae
Rfam family: tRNA
About the family: Transfer RNA (tRNA) molecules are approximately 80 nucleotides in length. Their secondary structure includes four short double-helical elements and three loops (D, anti-codon, and T loops). Further hydrogen bonds mediate the characteristic L-shaped molecular structure. tRNAs have two regions of fundamental functional importance: the anti-codon, which is responsible for specific mRNA codon recognition, and the 3' end, to which the tRNAs corresponding amino acid is attached (by aminoacyl-tRNA synthetases). tRNAs cope with the degeneracy of the genetic code in two manners: having more than one tRNA (with a specific anti-codon) for a particular amino acid; and 'wobble' base-pairing, i.e. permitting non-standard base-pairing at the 3rd anti-codon position.
Source: Rfam by way of RNAcentral